CAUAUGGACGAAAGACGUAAACAGUUAUCCAUAUGAAUUCUUUUACGGUUCGUCUUGCAAUUUACAUUGAAAAAUAUAAGGAGGAAUAGUCGACUUCGAUUAUGGAUUUCCUUAUAUCUUACAUAUUUAUGGUUACUGUGUUGUUACAGAAAGUGUGUGUAAAAGUCUUAAGGAUUAAAGAGAUUAUAAUGUAUCAUAAGAUAUAACUCGUAUCUUUCAACGCAAAUGACGUAAAUAUAGAGUAAUUUUGUUGUUACUUGUACGAAAGAUCUGUACUAACGGUUUUUAAGAUGGAGAAUCUACUGAUUCUAUCUGCAGAAUAUAAAGAACAAUUAGAAAUAGGCGACGAGCUUGAACGUUUGCAAAAAAAAGCUAUGGAAGAAAUAAUCUGUAAAAAUAUUAUCAACAUCAUGAGAGUCUGGUAAAUUAUUAUGAAAAAUGAUUUUGUACUGUUUGAUGAAAGUGAUUCAGAAGGAAUUUACAAAGAGAUUAGCAGCCUCUUUCGGUGAAAGCAUCGCCAAGAUGUUCGAGAACCUGCAAAAUCGAAUAAUUGGCAAAGCAUAAGAAAUAUUAAGUACUCCGGAAACAAUUCCAUUCGUUAAUGCCUACUUUAAAUAAUAAAAUCUAUUGCAUAAAUUAAUAUAACCUACCGCCCUGAGUCCAACAAUCCAAUCUGCAUGUGAAGAUAAUAAGAUGUAAAUUUUAUAAUAUGAUAUAAAUGUUAUGUGAUAUUAUUUUUUAUAUGUUAAUCUUUUUCGAAUUAUUAUUUAUUACAAUUUCUUACUUUAUUUUCGGCUUUUUACAGAGACCAGUGUCCACCAUGUACGGAUAAAUAGUUGUAAAGUUUAUGUUCAAGUUCUUUCCUUUAGAGUAUUCUCGAAGCUCUUCGCUGAGAGCUUCCAUAAAACCUACACAAUAUUAAAUAAAAUUUAAUGUAUCUAUUAUCACAAUAAAUCCUCAUUUUUGUAGAUA
This is a long non-coding RNA of Vespula pensylvanica (western yellowjacket), 972 nucleotides long. RefSeq lists it as uncharacterized. The transcript is spliced from 3 exons. The record is from RefSeq and is a predicted model, not a curated record. NCBI's taxonomy places the organism in Eukaryota, Metazoa, Arthropoda, Insecta, Hymenoptera, Vespidae.